GUUGAGGUCUCGUCCGACACGGCAACGCCCGUUGCAUCGAACCCAAGCCCGAUGGCCACCGGUGCCUCCAACUCCAACUCCAAUCCGAUACUUAUUGUCCCUCGAUGUAAAAACUUUAGCCCCCGCGUCGCUCCCUCGGAGGGCGACUCGGGUGGCACCCCGCCGCUGACCCCCCUCUCCUCCCACCUCGCCGCCGCCGGAGGGGGCCGCCGGAAGUCCGACCGGCUCCCGAGGACGGCGGUGGUGUCGGUGUUUUAAGCUGUCGGUGUUUUAGACCGGCAACCCGCCCAGGGGGUACCCUAGGUUUGCGUUAAGGGUCGUCGAGAAUCAAGGAAUCAGUGGUGAC
This 346-nucleotide long non-coding RNA is filed under the name Setaria viridis. RNAcentral's name for it is "long non-coding RNA (SVIR_LNC000922)". The record is from RNAcentral. Lineage: Eukaryota; Viridiplantae; Streptophyta; Magnoliopsida; Poales; Poaceae.